RNAcentral lists this ribosomal RNA (440 nucleotides) under uncultured bacterium. Its description in RNAcentral is "bacterial SSU rRNA". It matches the Rfam family "Bacterial small subunit ribosomal RNA", at positions 791 to 1230 of the family's 1533-position model. The record is from RNAcentral.
UAGUCCACGCCGUAAACGAUGAGUACUAGCUGUUGGGACCCUUGAGGUCUUAGUGGCGCAGCUAACGCAUUAAGUACUCCGCCUGGGGAUUACGGCCGCAAGGCUAAAACUCAAAGGAAUUGACGGGGGGCCCGCACAAGCGGUGGAGCAUGCGGUUUAAUUCGAUGCAACGCGAAAAACCUUACCUACUCUUGACAUCCUUGGAAGAAUCUAGAGAUAGAUUUGUGCCUUCGGGAACCAAGUGACAGGUGCUGCAUGGCUGUCGUCAGCUCGUGUCGUGAGAUGUUCGGUUAAGUCCCGCAACGAGCGCAACCCCUAUCGUUAGUUACCAUCAUUAAGUUGGGGACUCUAGCGAGACUGCCGGCGUAAGCCGCGAGGAAGGUGGGGAUGACGUCAAAUCAUCAUGGCCUUUAUGCCUAGGGGCUACACACGUGCUACAA